UUCCUGCCCAGGCUGGCUCUGAACUUCAAUCCUUGAGAUCAGCCUCCAGAAUAGCUAGGACUUCAGGCAUGAGCCACUAGUGCCCAGCUCAUCAUAUAUAUUUAAAAUGCAAAAUAACUGACAUCAGGAAUAAUUUUACCUACUUGUAUUUAAACAAAAGAAUCAACAAUUAUUAUGUAAUUCACAUUCUUGCCAAAUACAAAGCAUAUUGGCUUCCCAAUGGGAGAAAAUGAUUUCUCCUACUUUUUGAAAUCUAAAAAUAUAUUAUAGAAGUCUACAACGUGGUUAACAUUUCAGGGAGAGUUACAAACAUAAUGUAUACAUAGGAAGGAUACAUGCUGCUAUGGGACGUCUUCUUAAGAAAGCAGAAGUCUUUAUGGGUAUAGCAGACAUACUGCUACUAAAAAGUGUGUUAUGUAUUUAUUUUUCAUCACUGGUCAGAAAAUUCUGUAAGCCCAGGUUUUGAUCUAAAUUGCUUGGCUCUUCAGCUCCAUGGCCUUGCAUAUUAUGCCACACACAUUAGAUGUUCUAAUGAAAACAUAAGCGGACCUGGACAAUUUUCUACAUUUAAGGCUUAACAUUA
Long non-coding RNA from Perognathus longimembris pacificus (Pacific pocket mouse), 583 nucleotides. RefSeq lists it as uncharacterized. Lineage: Eukaryota; Metazoa; Chordata; Mammalia; Rodentia; Heteromyidae. The transcript has 3 exons. The record is from RefSeq and is a predicted model, not a curated record.